Molecule: ribosomal RNA, 115 nt
Filed under: Panthera tigris altaica (Amur tiger)
Lineage: Eukaryota; Metazoa; Chordata; Mammalia; Carnivora; Felidae
Source: RNAcentral
GACAUUUGGUAGAGACUGUUGAAGCCACCUGGUCCCAGCAGACCCCAGAAAAAUGGCCACAUUCACUGGUGCUGGAACGAGGUCGUUAAGGGUGAAAGCCUGGUGCCAGAUGUGU